AGUGGCAGACGGGUGAGUAACAUGUGGGUAUCUACCCUUUGGCCUGGAAUAACACGAGGAAACUUGUGCUAAUACCGGAUAAGUCUUUACGGAGAAAGCUUUAUGCACCAUUGGAUGAGCCCGCACUUGAUUAGUUUGUUGGUAGGGUAAUGGCCUACCAAGACUAUGAUCAAUAGCUGAUUUGAGAGGAUGAUCAGCCACAUUGGGACUGAGACACGGCCCAAACUCCUACGGGAGGCAGCAGUGGGGAAUCUUGCACAAUGGAGGAAACUCUGAUGCAGCGAUGCCGCGUGAGUGAAGAAGGCCUUUGGGUUGUAAAGCUCUUUCGUCGGGGAAGAAAAUGACUGUACCCGAAUAAGAAGGUCCGGCUAACUUCGUGCCAGCAGCCGCGGUAAUACGAAGGGACCUAGCGUAGUUCGGAAUUACUGGGCUUAAAGAGUUCGUAGGUGGUUGAAAAAGUUAGUGGUGAAAUCCCAGAGCUUAACUCUGGAACUGCCAUUAAAACUUUUCAGCUAGAGUAUGAUAGAGGAAAGCAGAAUUUCUAGUGUAGAGGUGAAAUUCGUAGAUAUUAGAAAGAAUACCAAUUGCGAAGGCAGCUUUCUGGAUCAUUACUGACACUGAGGAACGAAAGCAUGGGUAGCGAAGAGGAUUAGAUACCCUUGUAGUCCAUGCCGA
Molecule: ribosomal RNA, 675 nt
Filed under: uncultured bacterium
Lineage: Bacteria
Description: bacterial SSU rRNA
Rfam family: Bacterial small subunit ribosomal RNA
Source: RNAcentral